GAUGAAGAACGUAGCGAAAUGCGAUAAGUAAUGUGAAUUGCAGAAUUCAGUGAAUCAUCGAAUCUUUGAACGCACAUUGCGCCCGCCAGUAUUCUGGCGGGCAUGCCUGUUCGAGCGUCAUUUCAACCAUCAAGCCCCAGGCUUGUGUUGGGGACCUGCGGCUGCCGCAGGCCCUGAAAACCAGUGGCGGGCUCGCUGUCACACCGGGCGUAGUAGAUUUUAUCUCGCUCUGGGCGUGCUGCGGGUUCCGGCCGUUAAAAAACCCUUUUAACCCAAGGUUGACCUCGGAUCAGGUAGGAAAACCCGCUGAACUUAAGCAUAUCAAUAAGCGGAGGA
Molecule: unclassified non-coding RNA, 336 nt
Filed under: soil metagenome
Description: partial contains 5.8S ribosomal RNA, internal transcribed spacer 2, and large subunit ribosomal RNA
Rfam family: 5.8S ribosomal RNA (bases 1-120)
Source: RNAcentral